UUGGACUGGACUAUGGUUCGGCUGUAUUUUCGUUUUGCAACGAAAUUGAAAAUGGUUAUUCAUUUUUGAUUUACAUUUACUCUGUCUGGAGUAUGAAGGGAACCAGUCUCGUUGGAACUUUACCGCGCUGAGCAGAUGUGACGUGAAUUGUAAAUUGUAGAAUUCCCUCAUCUUCCUUAGUCUCAGCAUCCGUAUGGCUUGCAAAUUGUAGAAGCCUCGGAGGUGUAACCAGAGAAGGUUCCCAUUGUUUUCAUUCUGGUGGGAUAUGUUAUAUGCCAUUAGAGUGAAAACUUAGUCUUUUGCUAGCAGUUGCCGCUAGGGCAUCUAUGCCAUUUCGUUCGUUGCAAUUCGGGACUGCACGCUGGGGUUUGUUUUGGUUGGAUCAGGGAGAGCAGCAUAUGUGCCUCCUGAUGAGAGACUAAUAGUUUCGAAACCGGUAGAGGUGCUUGCAGCAGUCUCUGAUUGGACUGGAAUAUGGUUCGGCUGUAUUUUCGUUUUGCAACGAAAUUGAAAAUGGUUAUUCAUUUUUGAUUUACAUUUACUCUGUGUGGAGUAUGAAGGGAACCAGUCUCGUUGGAACUUUACCGCGCUGAGCAGAUGUGACGUGAAUUGUAAAUUGUAGAAUUCCCUCAUCUUCCUUAGUCUCAGCAUCCGUAUGGCUUGCAAAUUGUAGAAGCCUCGGAGGUGUAACCAGAGAAGGUUCCCAUUGUUUUCAUUCUGGAGGGAUAUGUUAUAUGCCAUUAGAGUGAAAACUUAGUCUUUUGCUAGCAGUUGCCGCUAGGGCAUCUAUGCCAUUUCGUUCGUUGCAAUUCGGGACUGCACGCUGGGGUUUGUUUUGGUUGGAUCAGGGAGAGCAGCAUAUGUGCCUCCUGAUGAGAGACUAAUAAGUUUCGAAACCGGUAGAGGUGCUUGCAGCACUCUCUGAUUGGACUGGAGUAUGGUUCGGCUGUAUUUUCGUUUUGCAACGAAAUUGAAAAUGGUUAUUCAUUUUUGAUUUACAUUUACUCUGUGUGGAGUAUGAAGGGAACCAGUCUCGUUGGAACUUUACCGCGCUGAGCAGAUGUGACGUGAAUUGUAAAUUGUAGAAUUCCCUCAUCUUCCUUAGUCUCAGCAUCCGUAUGGCUUGCAAAUUGUAGAAGCCUCGGAGGUGUAACCAGAGAUGGUUCCCAUUGUUUUCAUUCUGUUGGGAUAUGUUAUAUGCCAUUAGAGUGAAAACUUAGUCUUUUGCUAGCAGUUGCCGCUAGGGCAUCUAUGCCAUUUCGUUCGUUGCAAUUCGGGACUGCACGCUGGGGUUUGUUUUGGUUGGAUCAGGGAGAGCAGCAUAUGUGCCUCCUGAUGAGAGACUAAUAAGUUUCGAAACCGGUAGAGGUGCUUGCAGCACUCUCUGAUUGGACUGGAAUAUGGUUCGGCUGUAUUUUCGUUUUGCAACGAAAUUGAAAAUGGUUAUUCAUUUUUGAUUUACAUUUACUCUGUGUGGAGUAUGAAGGGAACCAGUCUCGUUGGAACUUUACCGCGCUGAGCAGAUGUGACGUGAAUUGUAAAUUGUAGAAUUCCCUCAUCUUCCUUAGUCUCAGCAUCCGUAUGGCUUGCAAAUUGUAGAAGCCUCGGAGGUGUAACCAGAAAAGGUUCCCAUUGUUUUCAUUCUGGUGGGAUAUGUUAUACGCCAUUAGAGUGAAAACUUAGUCUUUUGCUAGCAGUUGCCGCUAGGGCAUCUAUGCCAUUUCGUUCGUUGCAAUUCGGGACUGCACGCUGGGGUUUGUUUUGGUUGGAUCAGGGAGAGCAACAUAUGUGCCUCCUGAUGAGAGAAUAAUAAGUUUCGAAACCGGUAGAGGUGCUUGCAGCACUCUCUGAUUGGACUGGAAUAUGGUUCGGCUGUAUUUUCGUUUUGCAACGAAAUUGAAAAUGGUUAUUCAUUUUUGAUUUACAUAUACUCUGUGUGGAGUAUGAAGGGAACCAGUCUCGUUGGAACUUUACCGCGCUAAGCAGAUGUGACGUGAAUUGUAAAUUGUAGAAUUCCCUCAUCUUCCUUAGUCUCAGCAUCCGUAUGGCUUGCAAAUUGUAGAAGCCUCGGAGGUGUAACCAGAGAAGGUUCCCAUUGUUUUCAUUCUAGUGGGAUAUGUUAUAUGCCAUUAGAGUGAAAACUUAUUCUUUUGCUAGCAGUUGCCGCUAGGGCAUCUAUGCCAUUUCGUUCGUUGCAAUUCGGGACUGCACGCUGGGGUUUGUUUUGGUUGGAUCAGGGAGAGCAGCAUAUGUGCCUCCUGAUGAGAGACUAAUAAGUUUCGAAACCGGUAGAGGUGCUUGCAGCACUCUCUGAUUGGACUGGACUAUGGUUCGGCUGUAUUUUCGUUUUGCAACGAAAUUGAAAAUGGUUAUUCAUUUUUGAUUUACAUUUACUCUGUGUGGAGUAUGAAGGGAACCAGUCUCGUUGGAACUUUACCGCGCUGAGCAGAUGUGACGUGAAUUGUAAAUUGUAGAAUUCCCUCAUCUUCCUUAGUCUCAGCAUCCGUAUGGCUUGCAAAUUGUAGAAGCCUCGGAGGUGUAACCAGAGAAGGUUCCCAUUGUUUUCAUUCUGGUGGGAUAUGUUAUAUGCCAUUAGAGUGAAAACUUAGUCUUUUGCUAGCAGUUGCCGCUAGGGCAUCUAUGCCAUUUCGUUCGUUGCAAUUCGGGACUGCACGCUGGGGUUUGUUUUGGUUGGAUCAGGGAGAGCAGCAUAUGUGCCUCCUGAUGAGAGACUAAUAGUUUCGAAACCGGUAGAGGUGCUUGCAGCAGUCUCUGAUUGGACUGGAAUAUGGUUCGGCUGUAUUUUCGUUUUGCAACGAAAUUGAAAAUGGUUAUUCAUUUUUGAUUUACAUUUACUCUGUGUGGAGUAUGAAGGGAACCAGUCUCGUUGGAACUUUACCGCGCUGAGCAGAUGUGACGUGAAUUGUAAAUUGUAGAAUUCCCUCAUCUUCCUUAGUCUCAGCAUCCGUAUGGCUUGCAAAUUGUAGAAGCCUCGGAGGUGUAACCAGAGAAGGUUCCCAUUGUUUUCAUUCUGGAGGGAUAUGUUAUAUGCCAUUAGAGUGAAAACUUAGUCUUUUGCUAGCAGUUGCCGCUAGGGCAUCUAUGCCAUUUCGUUCGUUGCAAUUCGGGACUGCACGCUGGGGUUUGUUUUGGUUGGAUCAGGGAGAGCAGCAUAUGUGCCUCCUGAUGAGAGACUAAUAAGUUUCGAAACCGGUAGAGGUGCUUGCAGCACUCUCUGAUUGGACUGGAGUAUGGUUCGGCUGUAUUUUCGUUUUGCAACGAAAUUGAAAAUGGUUAUUCAUUUUUGAUUUACAUUUACUCUGUGUGGAGUAUGAAGGGAACCAGUCUCGUUGGAACUUUACCGCGCUGAGCAGAUGUGACGUGAAUUGUAAAUUGUAGAAUUCCCUCAUCUUCCUUAGUCUCAGCAUCCGUAUGGCUUGCAAAUUGUAGAAGCCUCGGAGGUGUAACCAGAGAUGGUUCCCAUUGUUUUCAUUCUGUUGGGAUAUGUUAUAUGCCAUUAGAGUGAAAACUUAGUCUUUUGCUAGCAGUUGCCGCUAGGGCAUCUAUGCCAUUUCGUUCGUUGCAAUUCGGGACUGCACGCUGGGGUUUGUUUUGGUUGGAUCAGGGAGAGCAGCAUAUGUGCCUCCUGAUGAGAGACUAAUAAGUUUCGAAACCGGUAGAGGUGCUUGCAGCACUCUCUGAUUGGACUGGAAUAUGGUUCGGCUGUAUUUUCGUUUUGCAACGAAAUUGAAAAUGGUUAUUCAUUUUUGAUUUACAUUUACUCUGUGUGGAGUAUGAAGGGAACCAGUCUCGUUGGAACUUUACCGCGCUGAGCAGAUGUGACGUGAAUUGUAAAUUGUAGAAUUCCCUCAUCUUCCUUAGUCUCAGCAUCCGUAUGGCUUGCAAAUUGUAGAAGCCUCGGAGGUGUAACCAGAGAAGGUUCCCAUUGUUUUCAUUCUAGUGGGAUAUGUUAUAUGCCAUUAGAGUGAAAACUUAUUCUUUUGCUAGCAGUUGCCGCUAGGGCAUCUAUGCCAUUUCGUUCGUUGCAAUUCGGGACUGCACGCUGGGGUUUGUUUUGGUUGGAUCAGGGAGAGCAGCAUAUGUGCCUCCUGAUGAGAGACUAAUAAGUUUCGAAACCGGUAGAGGUGCUUGCAGCACUCUCUGAUUGGACUGGACUAUGGUUCGGCUGUAUUUUCGUUUUGCAACGAAAUUGAAAAUGGUUAUUCAUUUUUGAUUUACAUUUACUCUGUGUGGAGUAUGAAGGGAACCAGUCUCGUUGGAACUUUACCGCGCUGAGCAGAUGUGACGUGAAUUGUAAAUUGUAGAAUUCCCUCAUCUUCCUUAGUCUCAGCAUCCGUAUGGCUUGCAAAUUGUAGAAGCCUCGGAGGUGUAACCAGAGAAGGUUCCCAUUGUUUUCAUUCUGGUGGGAUAUGUUAUAUGCCAUUAGAGUGAAAACUUAGUCUUUUGCUAGCAGUUGCCGCUAGGGCAUCUAUGCCAUUUCGUUCGUUGCAAUUCGGGACUGCACGCUGGGGUUUGUUUUGGUUGGAUCAGGGAGAGCAGCAUAUGUGCCUCCUGAUGAGAGAAUAAUAAGUUUCGAAACCGGUAGAGGUGCUUGCAGCACUCUCUGAUUGGACUGGAAUAUGGUUCGGCUGUAUUUUCGUUUUGCAACGAAAUUGAAAAUGGUUAUUCAUUUUUGAUUUACAUUUACUCUGUGUGGAGUAUGAAGGGAACCAGUCUCGUUGGAACUUUACCGCGCUAAGCAGAUGUGACGUGAAUUGUAAAUUGUAGAAUUCCCUCAUCUUCCUUAGUCUCAGCAUCCGUAUGGCUUGCAAAUUGUAGAAGCCUCGGAGGUGUAACCAGAGAAGGUUCCCAUUGUUUUCAUUCUAGUGGGAUAUGUUAUAUGCCAUUAGAGUGAAAACUUAUUCUUUUGCUAGCAGUUGCCGCUAGGGCAUCUAUGCCAUUUCGUUCGUUGCAAUUCGGGACUGCACGCUGGGGUUUGUUUUGGUUGGAUCAGGGAGAGCAGCAUAUGUGCCUCCUGAUGAGAGACUAAUAAGUUUCGAAACCGGUAGAGGUGCUUGCAGCACUCUCUGAUUGGACUGGACUAUGGUUCGGCUGUAUUUUCGUUUUGCAACGAAAUUGAAAAUGGUUAUUCAUUUUUGAUUUACAUUUACUCUGUGUGGAGUAUGAAGGGAACCAGUCUCGUUGGAACUUUACCGCGCUGAGCAGAUGUGACGUGAAUUGUAAAUUGUAGAAUUCCCUCAUCUUCCUUAGUCUCAGCAUCCGUAUGGCUUGCAAAUUGUAGAAGCCUCGGAGGUGUAACCAGAGAAGGUUCCCAUUGUUUUCAUUCUGGUGGGAUAUGUUAUAUGCCAUUAGAGUGAAAACUUAGUCUUUUGCUAGCAGUUGCCGCUAGGGCAUCUAUGCCAUUUCGUUCGUUGCAAUUCGGGACUGCACGCUGGGGUUUGUUUUGGUUGGAUCAGGGAGAGCAGCAUAUGUGCCUCCUGAUGAGAGACUAAUAAGUUUCGAAACCGGUAGAGGUGCUUGCAGCACUCUCUGAUUGGACUGGAAUAUGGUUCGGCUGUAUUUUCGUUUUGCAACGAAAUUGAAAAUGGUUAUUCAAUUUUGAUUUACAUUUACUCUGUGUGGAGUAUGAAGGGAACCAGUCUCGUUGGAACUUUACCGCGCUGAGCAGAUGUGACGUGAAUUGUAAAUUGUAGAAUUCCCUCAUCUUCCUUAGUCUCAGCAUCCGUAUGGCUUGCAAAUUGUAGAAGCCUCGGAGGUGUAACCAGAGAAGGUUCCCAUUGUUUUCAUUCUGGUGGGAUAUGUUAUAUGCCAUUAGAGUGAAAACUUAGU
RNAcentral lists this long non-coding RNA (5850 nucleotides) under Diabrotica virgifera virgifera (western corn rootworm). RNAcentral's name for it is "uncharacterized LOC126885919". Lineage: Eukaryota; Metazoa; Arthropoda; Insecta; Coleoptera; Chrysomelidae. The record is from RNAcentral.